GACGAACGCUGGCGGCGUGCUUAACACAUGCCAGUCGAACGGAAAGGCCCUGCUUUUGUGGGGUGCUCGAGUGGCGAACGGGUGAGUAACACGUGAGUAACCUGCCCUUGACUUUGGGAUAACUUCAGGAAACUGGGGCUAAUACCGGAUAGGAGCUCCUGCUGCAUGGUGGGGGUUGGAACGUUUCGGCGGUUGGGGAUGGACUCGCGGCUUAUCAGCUUGUUGGUGGGGUAGUGGCUUACCAAGGCUUUGACGGGUAGCCGGCCUGGGAGGGUGACCGGCCACAUUGGGACUGAGAUACGGCCCAGACUCCUACGGGAGGCAGCAGUGGGGAAUAUUGCACAAUGGGCGGAAGCCUGAUGCAGCAACGCCGCGUGCGGGAUGACGGCCUUCGGGUUGUAAACCGCUUUCGCCUGUGACGAAGCGUGAGUGACGGUAAUGGGUAAAGAAGCACCGGCUAACUACGUG
This 468-nucleotide ribosomal RNA is filed under the name uncultured bacterium. RNAcentral describes it as "partial 16S ribosomal RNA". It matches the Rfam family "Bacterial small subunit ribosomal RNA", at positions 28 to 507 of the family's 1533-position model. The record is from RNAcentral.